GAAGUUCACGGUCCACGUAUUGCUGAAGCCUGGCUUGGAGGAUUUUGAGAUUACUAGCGUGUGAGGUUUUUUUGUAUGCAUAUCUGUCUCUUGACAACUACUGUUUGACUUCUGAGUACAUAGAUACACACCCUGUUCAGACUCUUGUGGAUAUUUCAGCGUGAAAAUAGUGAAGAUAGCUGGUGAUGUGUGAAAUGCUGCCACAGUAUUGAUUUUCCUGCCACACAAACAAGAACAAACUGAAUUACUGCCAUCAUCCGAGCCUUUUAAUAAUUAUGGGAAAAGGCCAAGGUUAAGCUGAAAGGUGAAUUGUAUUUGGAAUGUAAUAUGACAUAUGGAUUUUUUGGAAAGGAUGGAGGUUGAAGAUGGAGAGCUUGUGAACUUUGCCCUGUUACAUAGUAUGCAUUUGUUUGACCAAGAUUAAAAAUCUGCUGUAAUAGGCAGACAUGUCCCCUUCAGAUAAUAUAGUUAUUAUUUAACUGUAGAUAAGGUGGUUGAAAAAAUUGUUACCUAAAAACAAAACAGUCUCAUAGUUAGUGAUUGAUACAUAUCACUGACAAAAUGAUGUAAGUUUACUGAUUUUAAGAUACCAAACAAAACAGUGAGAAAAUAAUAUUUCAUCCUUAGUACUAGAAGCUCUGGCUUGUAGGCUUCUAAAUUUCAAAUUAAAACUGGUUUCCUGCUUUGGAGUUUU
RNAcentral lists this long non-coding RNA (694 nucleotides) under Bos taurus (domestic cattle). RNAcentral describes it as "long non-coding RNA NONBTAT020504". The record is from RNAcentral. Lineage: Eukaryota; Metazoa; Chordata; Mammalia; Artiodactyla; Bovidae.